Molecule: long non-coding RNA, 751 nt
Organism: Zea mays
Lineage: Eukaryota; Viridiplantae; Streptophyta; Magnoliopsida; Poales; Poaceae
Exons: 2
Source: RefSeq, a predicted model, not a curated record
CAGCGCGUUAGGCUGUCUCCAACAAGGUUCGGUAAACCGACCUGUACGCUAGAAAUAGCGUCCCGAGACGUCCUUGAGGCCUCCAACAAGAUCCGCUAUACCCUCUAGUAAAAUUUAGGGUGCGUUUGUCGUCCGCUAUCUGUAGCGUGCUAGUUUUGCUCGCUAUCCGCUGUUCACUCCCGCGCUGCCUUCGUUCGUUGUCUCCCGCGCCGGCUCGGAACCCUCUCGUCGUCGCGCUCACUGUGUAGCACAUCCUCUCCGGUGUACGGCUCCAACGACAAGCUCAUGCUGUCAGGGCUCAAGAUGAUGUGUGCGGAGUCGGAUGGAGUGGCUUCGCAUGCUGGACGUUGGCGGCGUUGUGCUUGAAGUUGAAGACGUUGUGGUCAACCACGUCGUCGCUUCCAGACCGAAUCUGGUUUUGGGCACGCAGGCAAGCAAUAUGUCUUCAGUUGUUUGCAGACCUAAUCUGAAUCCCUCAUCGUACUUCCUCCUCACGACAUAACAAGAUUCAUCAUUUAGCUGCACAUGUAAUGGAAUAGAUUUAUCCAUUUCCUAAGUGAGAUUUAACCAUUUCUCAAGUGUUCCUAGCUAUUGUUCAGAUUAUGUCUAUUCUGUACAUGUGCGAUGAGGGAUUCAGUAAAGUGUUCCUAGCCAUUUUUGAGGAUGAAUUUAGUGGUCAACACUGAUAUGUCAGUUACUUUCAUUAAUGUAUGCAAUAUAAAUUUUGGUUAUUGUUUUAUGUGAUGGUAAA